Molecule: long non-coding RNA, 300 nt
Filed under: Elaeis guineensis (African oil palm)
Lineage: Eukaryota; Viridiplantae; Streptophyta; Magnoliopsida; Arecales; Arecaceae
Description: long non-coding RNA (EGUI_LNC047088)
Source: RNAcentral
GGAGCCGAACUUCUUCCCCGAGCUCAUAUCGCAGGUGGGCCUCAUCCGAAUUCUGGCAAGGGCCAAACUCCGGGCCCCCACCGCAAGCGGUCUACUUCGAACUUCUACCACAAGCGGUCUGCUCCGAGCUACCACUACAAGCGGUCUGCUUCGAAUUUCUACUACGAGCGGUCCACGUUGGAUUUUUACUGUAAGCCUCCACCUGAGCUUCUAUUGUGAGUGAAUUCCUUUCGAACUUCUAUUGCAGGCAGGCUUCGGCCGAGCUUUCUUGACAAAUGAUCCUCAUCCAGACUUCUACGG